Molecule: small RNA, 555 nt
Filed under: Pan troglodytes (chimpanzee)
Lineage: Eukaryota; Metazoa; Chordata; Mammalia; Primates; Hominidae
Description: retained intron
Source: RNAcentral
AGACGUGGCGGCUCUCGCCUGGGCUGUUUCCCGGCUUCAUUUCUCCCGACUCAGCUUCCCACCCUGGGCUUUCCGAGGUGCUGUCGCCGCUGUCCCCACCACUGCAGCCAUGAUCUCCUUAACGGACACGCAGAAAAUUGGAAUGGGAUUAACAGGAUUUGGAGUGUUUUUCCUGUUCUUUGGAAUGAUUCUCUUUUUUGACAAAGCACUACUGGCUAUUGGAAAUGUGAGUUUUUAAAUAUAUAUUUUAACUAAAUUUAUAAGGAAAUUUUAACUAUGAAUGAAUUAUUAUCUGCUAUUAAAUUUGGGGAAAAUAAUUCACUAUUACUCAUAAGUAAUUCCUGUUACAUUCUCUAUUUCCAUCAGGAAUGAAACCUGUCAGCUUUCUGUUUAAAUAAAAGGUAAACACUUAAUGAGGUUUUCUAAUUCCAUAACUACUCUGUUAAGUGUUUGUCAUGAGAUUUACAAUAGAUUAAAUGAAGGCUGCCUCUAAAUAGGAGUUCAAAAUAGAUGACUUGAUAGUUUCAUGUCUUGAUAAAUCACUAAAGUAUUUUU